CUUGGUCAUUUAGAGGNAGUAAAAGUCGUAACAAGGUUUCCGUAGGUGAACCUGCGGAAGGAUCAUUAUUGUAAAACCGAGGCACAAAGAGCUGUCGCUGACCUUCAAAGGUUGUGCACGCUCGAGUGCUCUCACACAUCCAUCUCACCCUUUUUGUGCAUCACCGCGUGGGCCCUCCUUUGCAGGAGGGCUUGCGUUUUCACAUAAAACUUGAUACAGUGUAGAAUGUUUUCUUUUCUUUUGCGGUCAAACGCAAUUAAUACAACUUUCAACAACGGAUCUCUUGGCUCUCGCAUCGAUGAAGAACGCAGCGAAAUGCGAUACGUAAUGUGAAUUGCAGAAUUCAGUGAAUCAUCGAAUCUUUGAACGCACCUUGCGCCCCUUGGCAUUCCGAGGGGCACACCCGUUUGAGUGUCGUGAAAUCAUCAAAACCUUUUCCUUUGAUCCUCUUUUGGUCGGGAAAAGGAUUUUUGGACUUGGAGGUUCUAUGCUCGCUUUUGAAAGCGAGCUCCUCUCAAAUGAAUUAGUGGGGUCUGCUUUGCUGAUCCUUGACGUGAUAAGAUGUUUCUACGUUUUGGAUUUGGCACUGUCCCUUGGACGCCUGCUCCUAACCGUCUGUUGGACGACGAUGGUGCUUCGGUCACUGCCAUCUACAUUGGCGGGAGGCUGGACCCACAAAAAAGACCUUGACCUCAAAUCGGGUGAGACUACCCGCUGAACUUAAGCAUAUCAAUAAGCGGANG
RNAcentral lists this ribosomal RNA (743 nucleotides) under uncultured fungus. RNAcentral's name for it is "eukaryotic LSU rRNA". The stretch from base 264 to 417 matches the Rfam family "5.8S ribosomal RNA". Lineage: Eukaryota; Fungi. The record is from RNAcentral.